GGGUACAAGAGUGAAGUUUGACUAUCGCAGUGUGUGAUGAUCACCGCCUCGCGAAUGGCGGGUAUUUGUCAUUAGUGAUUCUCGGUCAAUCGGUAUUACCAUCAUCAUCGAACAUCCGGCAGAUGCAGCGGGGAAUUCAGCUGCAGACGGUACUUAAGUAUCAGCAAUGAAGAUAAUGUUGUGAAGGGUCACUUCAUUCAUCCGUCGAUCGCUGCGGUGGGGUGAAAUCAUCGAUGUGAUUAAGUGCAUGUAUAGUGUCUGACCGCAUGUGUGAGUCAUAUUUUACACGUUUUCGUGGUAUUUCAACUGCGUCUAAGCGUAAUUGCAAGACAUGGAGGAAGUGGCUUGAUGGGCUUCGAAGACUUCAAAAGCGGACUAAGCUUGGUGCCACAGUCUGUUUAAUUCUAGAGGUGACACCGCGACUUUUCUAGGACGUAAGAAUAUGGAGCUAAAAGUCUUCCUCGUCCAUUUUCUGCAAUGGAUUAUCAUCGGCUUUGGAUUCGCUACGGCCAUUAGAUACGAACCGACGGCGACGCCGAGAGGAGCCGGGACAUCAGCGAAUCCGAGUGGCAAUCCUUCCAGCGGAUGUUGCCAGUGCAAAUUCGAUGACACCGCCUACCUCAACUCAGCUUGCGGGAGUAUGGCGUCUUUCAUGAUACUUGUUCAGAGCUUGAUGAUGUCCAGAUGCGACAUAGCCGACCCUUGUCGACGGGCCGGAAGGUCGGAUCUACCGGACGGCCAAUGGUACGAUUUUAUCAUCGUCGGCGCCGGAGUUGCCGGACCGAUCUUAGCCAGACGAUUGAGCGACUAUCCGUGGUGGAAGGUGCUUCUCAUCGAAGCGGGACCUGAGGAACCAACGAUGACGGCUUUUCCGGGGCUUGCCUUCAACGCGAUCAACUCGUCAUUGGACUGGAAGUUCUUGACGGAACCAACGCAGCCACACCCGACAGCUUGCUUGGAAAGAGGCGGAAUCUGUGCUUGGCCACGAGGCAAAAUGGUGUCGGGCACCGGGGGUCUCUAUGGCAUGAUGUACGUUCGGGGUCACCCCGAAAUCUACAACAAAUGGGCGCGGGAGGGGAACGUCGGUUGGUCGUACAGUGAGAUCGAGCACUACUUCGAGCGGGCGGAGGCGCCGGCAAAUCCGAAUAUGGUGCGGAGCGAGCCGUUCGCGCGAACGCGGAGCGGCGGCCCGUUGCAGAUCAACUAUUUUCCGCACAAGCCGGACUUCUCCGACGACCUGCUCAACUCGGCAAAGGAGCUGAGCUACCGGAUCGGCUCGCUCCGUGGCUCUAACCAGACGGGUUUCAUGGUAGCCCCGAUGAUGACGAGCGCCGGCCUUCGUGGAACUACUUCGCGGUACUAUUUGCGGCCCGUCUCGCAUCGGCCCAAUUUGGACGUGUUGAUAAACGCUCACGUGACACGAAUCCUCGUGGAGAAGUGGUCCGCGAGGGCGUACGGGGUCGAGUACAUCGACAAGAAUGGGGUACGGCGAGUCAUGAAGACUAACAAAGAGGUGAUUCUAACCGCCGGGGCUAUCGGGUCACCGCAGAUUCUGAUGACGUCAGGAAUCGGACCCAAGGAGCACCUCACUAAGCUCGGAAUAAAGCCUGUAAAGGAUCUGCCGGUAGGAGAAAACCUCCACAAUCAUGUCUCCAUCGGCAUAAAGAUGAGCAUCAAUGACACUCACUACGAAACGCUCACUCUUAGCGCGAUCAAUGAGUUCCUGGCCACCCGGAGCGGGCCUUUAGCUAGCACUGGUCUGACCCAGGUGACAGCGUUUCUAGAAAGCAGCUAUUCGACGGCUGGAGUUCCCGACCUGCAGAUAUUCUUCGACGGUUUUAGUUCAAAGUGCCCUAGGACCGGCCUUCAAACGGAGUGUCCAGAUGGUAGCAUCAACACGUGUCCGGAGCGUCGAGAGAUAGUCGCCAGACCGACGGUCGUCUGUCCACGAAGCAAAGGCUAUAUGAAGCUGCGCUCGCCGAACCCGUUGGACCCGCCACUCCUGUACCCCAACUACUUCGUGAACGAAGUCGACGCAAAGAUCCUCGUUGAGGGUAUAAAGAAGGUCGUCGAGCUGAGCAAGACCAAAGCAUUGCGGAAGUGGGACCUCCGCCUGGACAACAAACCCCAUCCAUGGUGUGCCAGGUACUACUUCGGGUCUGAUGCUUACUGGUCUUGUCUCAUCCGCGUUCAGACUGGCCCGGAAAACCAUCAGGCGGGGUCUUGCAGGAUGGGCCCGGUUGGCGAUGUCCGCGCUGUUGUCGAUCCUGAGUUGAGAGUUCACGGCGUUGAAAACAUCCGCGUUGCUGACGCUUCGAUUUUCCCCAUCGUUCCCAACGCCAACCCCGUCGCCGCCAUCAUCAUGGUCGCCGAAAAGGCCUCCGACCUCAUUCGGGCCGCUUGGAUGGUGAAGUGAGAAAUUCUCGUUCGCCGGUACGAGUUUCUUGUCCCACCGCCAAAAUAUGCCGAUCCUCUCGAGAUCUUCGAAAAUUCGGAAAAGAGAGAGAUCUUCUUCGACUUCUUCUUUUUCUCCUUUGCUCUUUCAUUGGUUAACGGGUUUCUUCGAGAAAGGAAAAGAAGGAUAAUGUACGAUGUAGUGACGGUGAACUGACAUGAUUGUAACGUGCUUUCUAGAAAUAAUAAGGAUUCAAGUUUUGGUUACAAUAUUGUCUAAAAAAAGGUUCUCAAAUGUUGUGAGCUAAGAAGACGAUAUAAUAAAACAAUAACUUUCAUACAUGCAAGUCUGCAUACUUUCAGUCUGCAUAGUCAUUGUGUAUUUUCUGAUGUACCAUCGACUGGUAAUCGAUACAUUGUAAGCAGUAAGUUAGAUAGAUCAGGUUCUCUGGCAGACUCCAACUCGUGUGACCAUCGACAUUAACACUUCACUUCGUGAAAUCGAUACUCUGAUCGAGUGUAAAGAGAGUAAAAAUAAAACCAGUAGCACCGAGCAGCAUUCAAGAAAGAUAAAUAUACGUAAAGAAUUCGAUUCUUUCGUCGGUUCCAAUCGAACGGUUCAAUAGAACUUUGAUAAUACUUCGAUCGAAUGGCACUAUGUUAUAAUUAAUAACGUAGAUCAAUAAUUGUAUAUAUAUAUACGCACGCAUCUGUGAUAAUUUCUUCAGGAAACUGAUCGACUCGUAAAACAAACUUCUGACGACGCACUUGUGGUUAAUAUUGAAGCAAAAAAUCUGCGGGUUGUAAUACCAGUUUGCACAGGUUUUACCGAUGAUCGAAGUGGGGUAAUAUUCAGACGCCUGCUUCCUCGGGCAUUCGUUAUACAUAUAAACUCCUUGGCAGUGCGCGGCAGAGCUUAACUACAACUCAGAGUGAACAGUAUAUGGUAGCUUCCGGAAAACGACUGCUUGUACAACGGGGCAAGGUUCAGGUUAAUUUUAUCGCAAACCGUGGAGACAAACGUCCAUUUUCU
This 3427-nucleotide unclassified non-coding RNA is filed under the name Neodiprion pinetum (white pine sawfly). RNAcentral describes it as "glucose dehydrogenase [FAD, quinone]-like, transcript variant X3". The record is from RNAcentral. Lineage: Eukaryota; Metazoa; Arthropoda; Insecta; Hymenoptera; Diprionidae.